Molecule: ribosomal RNA, 339 nt
Filed under: Triticum aestivum (bread wheat)
Lineage: Eukaryota; Viridiplantae; Streptophyta; Magnoliopsida; Poales; Poaceae
Description: partial small subunit ribosomal RNA
Source: RNAcentral
AUGAGUAUCUUCAGGUUGGCUGCGUCAGUUUGCGAUGACUUGACAAGGAUGAUGAGGCAGUACUGGUGGGGGGUGGAGAAUGGUAAGAGGGAGAUGGCCUGGCUUAGUUGGAAGAAGAUGGUGGUUCCAAAGUCUAUGGGGGGCAUGGGCUUCCAUGACAUGAGAGCUUUCAAUCACGCCCUGCUUGCUAAGCAGGCAUGGCGUCUGUUGGAUUGCCCAAAUAUCCUGUGUGCACGACUUCUUAGAGCAAAAUAUUACCCCCAUGGUAAUUUGUUGGAUACAGUGUUUCCGACCAGCUCGUCUGCAGUUUGGAAGGGGAUUGUACAUGGUCUUGAGUAG